RNAcentral lists this transfer RNA (83 nucleotides) under Castellaniella sp. RNAcentral describes it as "tRNA-Leu". It matches the Rfam family "tRNA". From Rfam's summary of the family: Transfer RNA (tRNA) molecules are approximately 80 nucleotides in length. Their secondary structure includes four short double-helical elements and three loops (D, anti-codon, and T loops). Further hydrogen bonds mediate the characteristic L-shaped molecular structure. tRNAs have two regions of fundamental functional importance: the anti-codon, which is responsible for specific mRNA codon recognition, and the 3' end, to which the tRNAs corresponding amino acid is attached (by aminoacyl-tRNA synthetases). tRNAs cope with the degeneracy of the genetic code in two manners: having more than one tRNA (with a specific anti-codon) for a particular amino acid; and 'wobble' base-pairing, i.e. permitting non-standard base-pairing at the 3rd anti-codon position. Lineage: Bacteria; Pseudomonadati; Pseudomonadota; Betaproteobacteria; Burkholderiales; Alcaligenaceae. The record is from RNAcentral. RNAcentral also lists the same sequence under 3 other names.
GCCCGGAUGGUGGAAUUGGUAGACACGCUGGUCUUAGAAGCCAGUGCGCAAGCGUGGGGGUUCAAGUCCCCCUCCGGGCACCA